AAAUCCCAUUUUUGGGUCAAAAACUCCCAAUUUCGGGGCAAGAAAUCCCAUUUUUGGGUCUGGAAGAGGUCCAGAAAUCCCAAUUUUAGGUCAAGAAAUCCCAUUUUUGGGUUAACGAAUCCCAUUUUUUGGUCCCCAAAUCCCAUUUUUGGGUCAAAAACUCCCAUUUUUGGGUCUUGAAAUCCCAUUUUUUGGUCCCAAUUCCCAUUUUUGGGUCAAAAAUUCCCAUUUUGGGGUCCAAAAGUCCCACUUUUGAGUCUCAAAUUCCCAUUUUUGGGUCAAGAAAUCCCAUUUUUUGGUCCCCAAAUCCCAUUUUUGGGUCCAAAAGUCCCAUUUUUGGGUCAAAAAUUCCCAUUUUUGUGUCUCAAAAUCCCAUUUUGGGGUCAAAAAGUCCCAUUUUUGAGACUAAAAAUCCCAAUUUUGGGUCCAAAAGUCCCAAUUUUGGGUCAAGAAAUCCCAUUUUCGGAUUCCAGAGGAGGCCCACCAGCCCCAUUCUUGAGUCCCCAAAUCCCAUUUUUGGGUCCCCAAAUCCCAAUUUUGGGUCCCCAAAUCCCAAUUUUGGGUCCAAAAGUCCCAAUUUUGGGUCCCCAAAUCCCAAUUUUGGGUCCAAAACUCCCAAUUUUGGGUCCCCAAAUCCCAUUUUUGGGUGCAGAAACCCCACUUUUGGGUCCCCAAAUCCCACUUUGGGGUCUCACCCCCCCACUUUUGGGUGAAAAGCCCCGAUUUUGGGUGAAAAGCCCCGUUUUGGCCCCAUGUUUUACCACCCCGAGAUCCUGCAGCGGCGCCGCGGCUGCUUCGGCACCAUCUGGUUGGCCGCCACCUGCGUGUCCCGCCUGCAGCGCCGCGAGGUGAUGGCUGUGGAUGUGCCCCAAACGUGGUCGGUUUUUAUGGGGUCCCUGUGGGGUUUUAUGGGGUCCCUGUGGGGUCACGUGGGGUUAUGGGGUCCCUGUGGGGUCAUACGAGGUUAUGGGGUCCUUAUGGGGUCCCUGUGGGGUCACAUGGGGUCACAUGGGGUUAUGGGGUCCCUAU
This 1029-nucleotide long non-coding RNA is filed under the name Phasianus colchicus (ring-necked pheasant). Its description in RNAcentral is "lncRNA (ENSPCLG00000013370.1)". The record is from RNAcentral. Lineage: Eukaryota; Metazoa; Chordata; Aves; Galliformes; Phasianidae.